CGGGGUAUAGCGCAGUUGGUAGCGCGCNNAUGCAUGGGGUGCAUGAGGCCGCCGGUUCGAGUCCGACUACCCCGACUA
Molecule: transfer RNA, 78 nt
Filed under: Candidatus Jacksonbacteria bacterium
Lineage: Bacteria; Candidatus Jacksoniibacteriota
Description: tRNA-Pro
Rfam family: tRNA
About the family: Transfer RNA (tRNA) molecules are approximately 80 nucleotides in length. Their secondary structure includes four short double-helical elements and three loops (D, anti-codon, and T loops).
Source: RNAcentral